AAAAGAAACUAACAAGGAYUCCCCUAGUAACUGCGAGUGAAGCGGGAAAAGCUCAAAUUUAAAAUCUGACAGUUGUUAGCUGUCCGAGUUGUAAUCUAGAGAAGUGUUAUCCGUGCUGGACCGUGUAUAAGWCUCCUGGAAUGGAGCGYCAUAGAGGGUGAGAAUCCCGYCUUUAACAUGGGCUACCAGCGCAAUAGUGAUAUGCUCUCAAAGAGUCGAGUUGUUUGGGAAUGCAGCUCAAAAUGGGUGGUAAAUUCCAUCUAAAGCUAAAUAUUGGCGAGAGACCGAUAGCGAACAAGUACCGUGAGGGAAAGAUGAAAAGAACUUUGGAAAGAGAGUUAAACAGUACGUGAAAUUGUUGAAAGGGAAACGCUUGAAGUCAGUCACAUUGAUCAGAGAUCAAUCUUGCUAUUAUUUUGCAGGGUGUAUUCUCUGGUUGAUGGGUCAGCAUCAAUUUUGACUGUCGGAAAAAGGCUGAGGGAAUGUAGCAUCCCUGUUGAUGUGUUAUAGCCCUUGGUUGUAUACGACAGAUGAGAUUGAGGAACUCAGCAUGCCGCAAGGCCAGGUUUUAAACCAUGUUCAUGCUUAGGAUGCUGGCGGAAUGGCUUUAAUCGACCC
RNAcentral lists this ribosomal RNA (618 nucleotides) under Limacella glioderma. Its description in RNAcentral is "LSU rRNA". It matches the Rfam family "Eukaryotic large subunit ribosomal RNA", at positions 57 to 650 of the family's 3401-position model. The record is from RNAcentral. Lineage: Eukaryota; Fungi; Basidiomycota; Agaricomycetes; Agaricales; Amanitaceae.